UACGUAGGUGACAAGCGUUGUCCGGAUUUACUGGGCGUAAAGAGCGCGCAGGCGGUCGAUCAAGUCGAGUGUGAAAGCCCCCGGCUCAACUGGGGAGGGUCAUUCGAUACUGAUCGACUCGAAGGCAGGAGAGGGUAGUGGAAUUCCCGGUGUAGUGGUGAAAUGCGUAGAUAUCGGGAGGAACACCAGUGGCGAAGGCGAUUACCUGGCCUGUUCUUGACGCUGAGGCGCGAAAGCUAGGGGAGCAAACAGG
This 253-nucleotide ribosomal RNA is filed under the name uncultured bacterium. Its description in RNAcentral is "partial 16S ribosomal RNA". It matches the Rfam family "Bacterial small subunit ribosomal RNA", at positions 524 to 776 of the family's 1533-position model. The record is from RNAcentral.